Molecule: long non-coding RNA, 582 nt
Organism: Pectinophora gossypiella (pink bollworm)
Lineage: Eukaryota; Metazoa; Arthropoda; Insecta; Lepidoptera; Gelechiidae
Exons: 2
Source: RefSeq, a predicted model, not a curated record
CUGCGCGUGGUGCACAUUUUUGCACAUCUUGUGAAUAAUAUUGUGUUUUUUGGAUUUCCUCGGGUAAAAAAGGGAUUGAAAUGAGUGAUUCGGAAGAAGACCCGGUACAAUCUCGGAUAAAUCCGGUACCAUUAUCCCUCGCCUACCCAGUAUCGGUAACUCCCGGUGGGUCUGGCCCCAUACUUUACCUUAGUUUCAUUUUAGACUUUAUUGUGAAAAGUAAUUAUGUGAAAACAGAUAAUCACUUCCAGACCUCAAUCAUACCUAGGUAUGUCAUCAAUAACUAAAUAUGUUAUUUGCCUUUUUAGACUUGGGUACCACCCACGACGCCAACUGUGGUUACGACAAGGACAGCAUCCCCUGCCCCGAGAAGAUAUCCGAUUGCGCUAAUAUUUUGCCGAGAUAUGUACGUUAGAUGACAAUGCAAUAUUUUGGUGGCAGUGAGCUGAUCUGAUGAAUGACGUAAUCGGAAGGUGAUCACUGGAACUUGAUGAAGGAACAACGUAAACUUAUUGAAUUUGGGUUCAUCUGUUUGUCUUGACGAGCAUUUUUAUAAAAGGAUGCUUUAAAAAUAUAUUUUUU